Molecule: long non-coding RNA, 253 nt
Organism: Boleophthalmus pectinirostris (great blue-spotted mudskipper)
Lineage: Eukaryota; Metazoa; Chordata; Actinopteri; Gobiiformes; Gobiidae
Exons: 3
Source: RefSeq, a predicted model, not a curated record
AGGUAAAGCACAGAUACUACAGAGGGAAUGUACAGCUACUACAGAGGACAAGUACAGAUAUAACAGAGGAAAAGUACAGAUACUACAGAGGGUAAAUUCCCUGACAUACAGCUACUACAGACGAAAGUACAGAUACCACAGAGAUAAAGUACUGAUAUAAAAGAGGCAAAGUACAGAUAUUUUACAGGUAAAAUACAGAUACUACAGUGGGAAAGUACAGAUACUACAGAGGGAAAGUACAGAUACAACAGAG